RNAcentral lists this long non-coding RNA (5575 nucleotides) under Homo sapiens (human). RNAcentral's name for it is "HSALNT0292346". Lineage: Eukaryota; Metazoa; Chordata; Mammalia; Primates; Hominidae. The record is from RNAcentral.
UCUUAAUUUUAUACUUGAAACAAUUGAGGCUUGAAGAUAUUAAGUGUCUUAUCAGGCUAGUUACAUAAAGGAAAUUUCAACUGGGAUGAAAUACUAGCAUCUGGAUCAAAGGUGAAAAGACUCCAUUUAUUUCUACCAAUUCAGACAAUGCAGUGUUAUACAUACACUGAAUGAAUAUUCUGGAUGGCAUUGAUUUGGCAAAACAAAAACAAACCAAUACAGCAAUAACUGCUCCCUUGGAAAAGUUGGUGGAUUCAAAAUCAUGAGGUUCCCUCACCCCCCAUCCUGAGCCAAACAAAACAUUCUUUACCUGCUCAGUCAUACCUGGUAAUUUCACAACGAUUAGGUGAUCGUGUUCCCUGACUCUCAUCGGCAGCAGGGCUCCUGGAAGUCCUGCUUCUCAUUACUACUGUGGACUGGAGCCUCCCCAGAGCUCCCUGGGGUCCUUGGCCUGGGUGAAGAUGGAUGAAGAUCAGAUCCAGCAGCUGUGGGUAGAGGAGGGUCCAGGAAGCAGGCACAAAGAGAGGUAAUUCAUCCACAUGGCAAAACAGAGCAUGAUCUGGGGAAGCUGGAGGCCUCCCAAACAGGGCCUCAACUGUCAGAACAUGUAAUAAACAUAACCAGCCAGAGGACUGAGGGGAGGCAGAAGGCACACAGUUAACCACUGCAGCAGAAAGUAGCAGAAAUGAAGGGAGAAGGCAAUGUUCUAGAUAGAAACUGCUUUAUUGGCCUGGGUUUCUUGGAGCGAAGAAACAUUGAGGAGCAGAUCCCCCAGCUGAUUCAGCAGACGUGCAGCAGAAGCCGACGGAAACCUCUGCUGUUUUAAGGCACUGAGAUUUUGGAGUUGUUUGCUAUCAUAGUGUAAUCUAUCAUCUCCUAACUGAUUCAAUGUGUUUAUCACAAUUAAUUGGUUUUUCUCAGUUUUAAUAACCAUAGAAAUACACAGCUGUCAUUCAGAGCCUCUAACAAGAAAGUGGUGUGACUCAUUAAACUGGUAGCACUCCUGCCAAAACCAAAGCAAUGUGAUCAUUCCAGUAGCAAUUGUUGCAAUAGAACCGUUUUAUUAUUUGUAAGAUAAAUGUAAUUUCUGCUAGGCUUUUUCAGCCUCUGGAUAUAUCUUAGAUGCUCAUGACUACUUCAGCUCCUGUUUUUACUGAGUGUGCUUAGUUCAACUGUCACUGGCUUAUGUAUCCCGGGGCCCUUCCAGUUGGGCAUGCUGGAAAAAAAAACAUCCUCUUUGGAAGCAGUAGUACGUUCUUGAACCUCUCUGAACCUCAGUUUCCUUACUUAUAAAACAAGAAUUACAAAUACUACCUCACAGAGUUGUCAUGAUCAUCAAAUGAAAUAUUAUAAUUGCUGCUCUUCAAGCAGUAUACAGCACAGGUACAGCUGGCUCUCUGAAUGGGUCAGGUACCUUUCAGCUCUAAGGAAGGUGACCAUGAGUUUAGGUUUGCCCUAAAUGCUCCCAGUUUCUGCUACUUGUUCUUAUAUCACAAUUAUUAUUUUAAAAAUAAUGAUGUAUUUAAUUUAAUCUGGAGCAAUUUUGUUCAAUCUUUCUAUGUCUUUUGUGGCAUUGACAUUUUUAAAGUGGACAGGUCAGUUAUUUUGCAGAAUGUUCCUUAAUUUGGUGUUAUCUGUUUCCUCAUGAUUAGAUUUAGAUUAUGCUAUUUUUUGGCAAAAAUGUCACAGAAAGAUGUGUGUUCUUCUCAGUGCUUUGUGUCAAGAGGCACAAGAUGUGAAAUUGUCCCCUUACUGGUGAUGUUAAUUUUGAUCUCUUGGUUAGGUGGUAUCUUCCAGAUUUCUCUGCUAUGAAGUUUACAUUUUCCCCUUUGUAAUUAAUAAGUGACUUUGCAAGAGAUAACUUAAAACUAUGCACAUAUCCUGUUACUCCUGAAACUUUCAUCCAGGAGUUUUAAUAUCCAUUAAUAAUUCUUGUCUAAAUCUAUUAUUGUCAUGGCUGCUGUCUUAGUUUGUGUUGCUAUAACAAAAUACACAGACUACAUAAUUGAUCAAAUAACAGACACUUAUUUCUCACAGUUCUGGAGGCCUUGGAAUUCCAUGAUCAAGACACCAGCAGAUUCAGUGUCUGGUGAGGGCCUGGUGCCUUGGUGCUAAGUCCUCAAGAGAGGAUGAACAUUGUGUCCUCACGCGGUGGAAUGCAGAAGGGUAAAGGGCCUAGUUAGUUGCUAUCAGCCCUUUAAGGCACUUAAUCCAAUCCAUGAGAGCAGAGCCCUCCUGGCCUAAUCACCUCCUAAAGUCCCCACCUCUUAAUACUAUCACAUUGGUAUCAAGAUUCAGCAUAUGAAUUUUGGAGGACACAUUGAGAGUAUAGCAAUUACCAAAUGGUGAUCUUCUAAAUACAAUAUUUUUUUACUUUUAUUAGUUGGCUUUCUACUGUAAGGAAAAGCUUUCCCUUCCCGAUCAUUUGCUUACUCAGAUCCAUAGGGACUCACAUAUGUAGUCUUAUUUUAGUCAAUGGAUUUUGACAUUGAUUUUGUUGAUUUUCUUUGAUGCUCAAAUUGUACCACUGGCCAUCUCUAGUCAUUUUCUAAGUCUGUUUCAAAAACCAUGUCUUUCAGAAGCCUGAUUUAGUCCACUUCAGCCAGUCAGUAACUCUCAUUUCUGUGCUCCUCUCAGUCUAUGUACUUUCCACUCCUUAUACAAGUUUCUUAUUGGGUUGUACUUGUUGGUUUCUUUUCUCACAUUAGAUUGUGAGCUCUUCAGUAUGAAGGAAGUGUCUGAUUUAUCUCUAUAUCCUUAAUGCUUAGCACAGAGACUGGUGCAUGGAGGAAACUCAAUUUUUCCUUAUUAAAAAGCAUGAAUGAAUGGAAGAAAGAAAAACAGUUCUUAAGUUUCUACCAACCAGUUCCAAUCCCUUUUUGGGGUACUAGCUUUAACUAGCAAAAAGAAAUUAUCUGUAACAUUCAUAGCAGGCUGCUGUGAGUCUUGCAAUAGUGAGGCUGAUUCAAGGUGGAUUAAAUUGUCAACAUGUUUGAAUUUAACAUAAAUGAUCCCCCCAUUUCAGAAGCUGCCUGCCAACUCUGAUCUCAUAUCCUUAGUGAUUCUUUACUAUUAGCUUGAUAUGGUGUUGUUUUCUCUCCUAGUUCCUCACUCAAUAGGAACUGCUCUCCCCAAAGAUGAAAAGAAGGGAUGUAAUAACCUUUCCAUCACAGGUGGUGAACCUAGAGGAGAGGAUCUGAAUCCCUGAUCAGUCGGUCCAGGUUUGGCUUCCUUUCUGUGCAGCUCAGAUGAGUGACUUUGGGACACUGGGGAUCAGAGAGUGAAGAACUUGCCUAUGGUCACACACCUGGUAAGCAGACAUCAUAUACAAACCAUGUUCUCUCCAAUACAUACACUACCAUUUCUAUAUUUAGAAAAUAUGUCAUAAAUAGGAUGUAAAUGCUAACUUUUCCUAUUUAAUUUCCUGUUUUACUAGAUUACAUAAGAGGACACAAAUGUUAUAGUUUUGGUUUGUUGCUUAUUUAUCUGUACGACCUUGAAUACAUUUUAAAGGAAUUCACUCAACUAUCAUCUCCUGUAAAAAGUGUUUCUUGAAUCCCUAGGCUGGAUAGAAUAUCUUUCCUUUGUCUUCCUGCUGUGGCCUGUGCAUAUCACUGGUGUUAAUUCAAAUAAUCAUCCCUUAUUUGUCAAUCUUUCCUACUAGACUGUUUUUUCCUUAAGAGCUGGACUGUGUCUUAAUUUAUCUUUUCUUUCUUUGAGCCUCACUCAAGAACUGGCACAUAGUGAAUACCUACUUAGUAUUUAUUGGGUUAAUAAAUAUAUGAAAGAAUAAAACUCCUUACCCUAUUUAGGCCCCACCUUAACAAUAUGAAAAAUAAAAGGUUGGACUAAGUCAGAGACACCACGAAUAUGGUACAUGUGCCACACUGAUCCUUUGCUGUGUCCUUGGCAGACAUUGCAAAUAAAUUACUUCUUUCUAUUCUGGACAUAAUUGCAAAAUCUUUCUCACUUUAGGGUGCACCUCCUAUGAGUGAACUUUAUUGCCAUACUUAAUUAGAUGUUCUUUCUGGCCCUUGACAGUUUCAGAUGCUCAGAGUCUGGUCCUUCCCGUCAGAAGGAAGUAUGUGUAAGAUGCUACCAAAGGUUGGGUCUAGGGGAUGAUGAAUGAUAUUCCUGCCUCUAUGUCACCUCCUGAAUUUUCAUCACUGCAUUCCUGAUUUGACAAGUGAUUUAACAUCCUAGGCUGGGGAAGGACUGAUGGAUGAAUUGGUCCUCUGUGCAUGGCUGUUGGGCAGGAAAUUAAUAAGAAUGCUAGCUGACAUGAUCUAUGGUACUGUCAGCUCAUUAUGCCUGAUUAGCUUCCAGCCUUUCACUCCCUCUGACAGCUACAGGGCCUCAGGGUUUCCAAUGGCAACUAUUUCCCUUUCUCUAAUUGAUUGCUAGGUCUCCGGCCAUGAAACCAAACCCUCCCACAGACUUGUCAGAGUAGGGAACCUUUCUGCAUCAUAUUACGUUCUCCCUUUUGGCAGUGGGAAGGUGAGCUCCUGGAUUGUCUAAGUGGUGUUGACAGUAAAGCCCUUUGAACUCAGGAAACAAAAUUUGAAGGGGUCAAAUCAGUCUAGUUGAUCAAGUUCUUAUCAAACUACUUACCAUGUGCUGAGGUCUGUGUUCAGUAAGGAAAUGGCAAAAGAAGUAGAUCAUAUGACAAUAAAAUAGGAGAGAAGCUUUAAAAUAUAUUUCAACAAACAUUUAUGAUGUACAAUAGCAACAAACACUGUGGCCUAUAUUCAAUUGAAUCCAAAUUGAAUUGUGUGUGUGUGUGUAUAUAUAUGUAUAUAUACACACACAUAUAUAUAUAUACACAUAUGUGUGUGUGUGUGUACAAAGUGAAUAUAUACACACAGGCACACCUUGUUUUAUUGCACUUCAUUCAAUUACACUUCACAGAUACUGCAUAUUUUACAAAUUGAAGGUUUGUGGCAACCCUGCAUUGAACAAGUCUGUUGGUACCGUUUUCCCAACAGCAUGUGCUUGCUUCAUGUCUCUGUCACAUUUUGGUAAUUCUUAUAAUAUUUCAAACUCUUUAAUUAUUAUAUGAGUUAUAGUGAUCUGUGAUCAGUGAUCUUUGAUGUUAGUAUUGUAAUUGUUUGGGGUGCCAGGAAAUAAACUUAAUUGAUAAAUGUGUAUUUUCUGACUGCUCCACAAACUGAUGGUCUCUCUGUUUUCUUCCUUCUCUCUUCAGGCCCCCAUACUCCCUGAGACACAACAACAUUGAUAUUAGACCAGUUAAUAACUCUACAAUGGCCUGUAAGUGUUCAAGUGAAAGGAAGAGUCGCAUAUCUCUCACUGUAAAUCAAAAACUAGAAAUGAUUAGGCUCAAUGAGGAAGCCACGUUGAAAGCUGAGAAAGGCUGAAAGUAGGCUUCUUGUGCCAAAUAGUUAGUCAAGUUGUGAAUGCAAAGAAAACAGGCUUGAAGGAAAUUUAAAGUGCUACUUCAGUGAACACAUGAAUAAUAAGAAAGUGAAUCAGCAUUAUUGCUAAUAGAAAGGAAGUUUCAGUGGUCUGGAUAGAAGAUCAAAUCAGCCAUAACAUUCCCUUAAGCCAAACCCUAAUC